AAGCUCGUAGUUGAAUUUCGGGAUUAGUACGUGGUCGUGCCUUAGGUACGUACUGGUGUUACUGGUUCCUACCUUCUGACGAACCAUCAUGUCAUUAAUUUGGUGUGGUGGGGAAUCAGGACAGUUACUUUGAAAAAACUUAGAGUGUUUAAAGCAGGCUCGCGCUUGAAUACAUUAGCAUGGAAUAAUGAAAUAGGACGUUGAUCCUAUUUUGUUGGUUUCUAGGAUUGACGUAAUGAUUAAUAGGGAUAGUUGGG
This 257-nucleotide ribosomal RNA is filed under the name uncultured Glomus. Its description in RNAcentral is "partial 18S ribosomal RNA". It matches the Rfam family "Eukaryotic small subunit ribosomal RNA", at positions 624 to 886 of the family's 1831-position model. Lineage: Eukaryota; Fungi; Glomeromycota; Glomeromycetes; Glomerales; Glomeraceae. The record is from RNAcentral.